Molecule: transfer RNA, 73 nt
Filed under: Exutisphaerella laricina CBS 326.52
Lineage: Eukaryota; Fungi; Ascomycota; Dothideomycetes; Mycosphaerellales; Mycosphaerellaceae
Description: tRNA-Val (AAC) (tRNA-Val-AAC-1-1, tRNA-Val-AAC-1-2)
Source: RNAcentral
GCUCGAGUGGUGCAACGGUUACCACGUCUGUCUAACACACAGAAGACUCCGCGUUCGAUUCGCGGCUUGAGUA